Molecule: long non-coding RNA, 3403 nt
Filed under: Taeniopygia guttata (zebra finch)
Lineage: Eukaryota; Metazoa; Chordata; Aves; Passeriformes; Estrildidae
Description: lncRNA (ENSTGUG00000020429.1)
Source: RNAcentral
UUUCCUGGAAAACACGCCAAGGGAAACAGAGAGGAGGUCACAGGCAGGCCCACUAAAGCUGCUCACAAGCGUUUCUCCUCUUUUUCCCUCUAAGGCCAAUUGCUGCUUUGGCUUCCAAGGGGAACAGCCCACCUCACCUUGGGAGCAACCCCACAAGGAGCCAUUCCCACUAACACUCAGUUUCACUCAUGACAUGGCCCUACAGGGAAAUAAAACCCUACAAUAUGCCUGGGAACGAUCCCAGCUCUUUCCUCUGGAAAACAUCUUCUCCCCACCCUGCAGAACCCUGAACUCCUCUGGCCGUGCUGUUUGGCUCUGCCCCCAUGGUCAGAGCCUGAGGUGGGGCUGCUGCAGCCCCUCACCUCUGACCCACCACUUCCAACACCCCUUCCUCCUCCUCCUCCUCCCUCUUCCAUCUGGCCCUUUCCCAGCAGCCAACAAGCCCAGCCUUUGUCCUCCCCUGCAGGCACCUCUGAUCCCUGUGCCCUCUCCCCACCCUGCUCUCCACUGCAUUGUGACAUCCAAGCACUGCAAAGUUUAGGAACAUGUAAAGAGUUCCCAGAGGGAAAAAUUUAUAAAAUAGCCCUUGAGUGUGUGCUGAGUGGUUUUCUUUCAGACAGAGCUUGCACCUGGCUGCAGACACCACUGACUGUGGACACACUCCUCACCUCACCCAUCACCCAGCUCACCCACACCACCUGCCUUUGCUCACAGAAAGCCUGCACUGGGGGCUCUGCCUUUGGUUUCUGUUCUGCAACAACCCCAGAGAAGAAGAAAGCCUUGCAGACACGUCUCCUGGCUCAGCAGGCUCCCCUGCCUUCACUGCUCUGGAAUUGGCUUCCACGGGUACCUCUGGAAGAGCCCCUCUGCGGGAGGUGCCCAGACAAAGCACCACAGGUGCAGAUCAAACACAUCAAAGAGGGAAAUCUGCCCUCUGCUUUGACUCCAGCAUCAGCCUCUCUGAUGAGCUGCUUCCCUCUCAUUACUGCUCAUUUUGCCCCCUAGUCCUGUCCACAGCUCUGGCCUUCAAUUAUGCCAUCAGCUCCAUCACCGGGAAUAUUUCAUCAGUGCCUGCCCAGCUCUUCUCUUCCCUUGGACCCCAUCUUUGCAUCUGCUCCUCCCAGACACUUUUCCUGUCCAGGUGAUGGCUUUCUUUGUGGCAGGGCUGCAAGACCUGAGCUGCUCCAGGGCUGACACAUCCCCUGGGGCAAAGCCCCACUCUGGGAGCAGCACAGCAGCAUGCAGGAAGGUGGCAAUCUGCAACAGAUCUCUGUUUACACACACACACACACCAGAACGCUGCUAAGUGCUUUUUGAGAGGGAGGUGGGACCAGAGAGCUCCUCUAACCUACACAAUCCUACCAUUCUGUCAGUGUCUUGUAAACAAAAUAAUCCAGGCUGGAGCUGGAAGCGGCUGCUCACUUGACAGCACAGCAGAGAGGUCUCGCAGCUCCGUGUCCCCUCUGCUGUGGCAUUUCCCUUCUCAAAUCCAUCACAACUCAGACAGGACGUCAAAGGUCUCUUUCAAGUGCCCUACCUCUGCAAAUCCUCCCGUAAGGAAGGAGAUAAUUGCACCUGCUUAAGGCUCGGGACGUCACCGCAGUGUAACAUGCAAUUAUUGUAGCACCUGGAAGAAUUGGAUAGAGAAAACACCAGUGCAAGUCCUCACUGCUCAAAAAACACUUCAUGCUUUUCCCUUUGCCCAGUGCUUUCUGACAGGGAAGGGAGGGCUGAUUUCUGGAGGUAGACUACUUCAAUUGAAGCUUUAUUUUUAUUUUAUUAAGCCUGUUCCCAGCCCAAAGGUGCCCAUGGCUUCCAGUGGUAUUUCCCAGAGGAGCAAUUCUGCCCCUGGAAAGUGAGGAGCUCUCAGUUAGCACCACUAAGAGGGAGAUGAUGCUCAGUUUGACAAUGAGACUGUCAGUGGGCUCUGAAAUGUCACUCCCACACCUCGCAGAUGCAGUUGGCUCAUCCCUUGUUUCACAGCAAUGUACUGGAGCUCCUUUUGUAACUGAUACAAAAUGUUUCACCAGGCUGGAGCUUUAAUUUGGAAAAAACCAGCUCCCCUUCCCAUUGAAAGGCAUUUUAAUUAAUUGUCUUGAACAUAUUUAAACUGUUCCAUCCUUUCUAAAGACACUUUUCCAGGAACAAACCAUGUCCUUAAGUAAAACCCAUAUGGCACCAAGCUGAACUAAAAAAGCCCCAAAACACUACAAAAAACCAAACUGAUAUUUCAAGAAGGUGGAUCUCCCACCUAUCAUCAUUCUUGUCUCUGACUUUGCCAGACCUUAUAUCUGUGAAUAACUCUGGAAGGAUAACCAGGACAAAUGUUUGUAUGAUGGCAGCUUGACAGUGUAACUUGUUUUGAAACAAGCAUGUAAGAUAAAUCACAACUGGAAUGACAGGAAAAAACCAAGUGAGACGAGACACCAAAAACCCGUGGGAGAGAGAUAACACAAGUUCCAUGGAGUUCUGGUAUCUAAUCUUACAGUAAGCCCAUCAUUUCAGUAGCAAAAAUAAUCCAUUAGAUGAGCUUUCCUUUUUAGCAUCAAUUUUCAAUCCAUACAAAAAUCGUCCCAAAAAGCCUUAAGCACUAACCACUGCAAUCUUCACAUCCUCUCUAUCCCUUCACAUUUCUUGCUCCUCUCCGGCCAAAUGCAGGUGGAAAAGGAGGGAAUCCCUACAAAACAGCCCAAUCUCACUCUAUCCUGAAUCCUGGAUAUAUGAAAACAUGGCUGUAGAAAGCAAAAUGUAUCCCUGAAAUAACAGUUUACUCAGAAACAAAACUGCCAUUUUCAUCCUGUGGUAACUCAACCUCCCCUCCUGACCUGGAGCUUUGUGGAAGUUGGACUGGGAUGUGACAUUUUCCAAGGGCCCAGAUCGAUCCACAUCUACAGGCGUUGUUCUUCAACUUCAUCAGCUAAACACACCAGAUUUGCCUCCUAGGGUUGGAGCAACACUGUUUGCUCUCUGUUCCAUCACACAAAGUUUGAAAGUGAACUCGAUUAGGUUGGUUAUUUGUCUUAAAACUAAGGCAAUGGUCACUUCAUCACUGGCAAUAAAAUCAGCUUGUCCUUAGAACUCAUUGCAGCUCUGUAACUCAUUGCAACUUCUGCUUCCACAGGAGGUUGAAGUUUCUUGUUGGAGAAAACUGGCUAUGUAAAAAUAUUCCCAAUACAUAAAGUCUUAAUCAGUCCAUGGAUUGGUUGCUGGUACUUGGUUGGAGAAAGGAAGACAAGCACACUCCACACCAAAUCCUGUGCAGUUGUUCUCCUCCAUUACACAAACACUUGGCAGGCUUCCUCUGUAAAAUUUAUGCACUAAAAUUAGCUCUCACAAUUGCAAUCAAUUGCAACAAUCAAGCAUAAGUAAUUCCAGGGAAAGGAAAAGGGAAAAAAAAAAAAAA